Molecule: non-coding RNA, 23 nt
Filed under: Arabidopsis thaliana (thale cress)
Lineage: Eukaryota; Viridiplantae; Streptophyta; Magnoliopsida; Brassicales; Brassicaceae
Source: RNAcentral
ACAAAUGCAACUGACGCCAUGAC